This 219-nucleotide unclassified non-coding RNA is filed under the name uncultured Tomentella. Its description in RNAcentral is "sequence contains ITS2". Lineage: Eukaryota; Fungi; Basidiomycota; Agaricomycetes; Thelephorales; Thelephoraceae. The record is from RNAcentral.
ACACCUCAACUCUCAUGGCUUGCCAUGAUGAGCUUGGACCAUGGGGGUCUUGCUGGCCUGUGGGUCGGCUCCUCUCAAAUGAAUCAGCUUUCCAGUGUUUGGUGGCAUCGCAGGUGUGAUAACUAUCUACGCUUGUGAUUUUCUGCCAGGGUAACCUUCAGCAAUGGAGGUUCUCUGGAGCUCACAAAUGUCUUUCCUCAGCGAAGACAGCUCUUGAUU